GGAAGGAUCAUUACCGAGCUACACGCAAAAGUGCUUUUACCGAUACGGCUCUCGUAACCGUUGACGUUCUAGUGCGGGGCUUCUCGCCAAAAAUCGGCGCGAUCACGACGGCUGGGCGCCGAGCUUGCGCGAGUCCGUUCGCCGAUUUUAUCCGUAGAGAAGCUAACGAGGUUUAAAAUCAAUCGCCUAGACGCGCGGCUCAUCGUCGGCCGUUCUCGCUCGGAAUCGUCGGAUCAGCGGAGUUUGGAUACCUGACCGCGAUUCUAGAAAACGCGAGGCGACCGGCGCAUGUAGCCGUCGAAAAUGCGGUCUUGCGAUGAUUUUAUUCCUCAAAACCAGACGAGCGGGAUCGGAGUCGUAAAUAUCAUACUCCGAUUCUCCUUCGGGUACCUAUCGGGUACUAGCGAUACGGCUGACGUCUGGCCGUAGCGUAAAAUUCGCUAGUCUCGAAGAUCCGCAGUAAAUGCGGACAGAUUUAAAGAGUCGCCGGUUCGACGAUCCAUCGAUGAUGGUCGUCGAACGACUAAUCGCCGAAAGUAGCCGCGCAAAUAUAUAUUCGGCGAAAAUGCGAUCGGUUCUGAACGUUCGAGCAUGUCGACGUUCGGGUGACCGCCCGGAAUCCUAAAAACGAAGUUUCUAGUUUAAAGAAUAUAGCUUCGCCUCGCGGAGUGAUAUAUGAAUAAAAGAAUCCUAGCGAGAUUCCAUUCUAAGCGGUGGAUCACUAGGCUCGUGGGUCGAUGAAGAACGGGGCCAGCCCCGAGAAGAAGUGCGAAUUGCAGACACAAAGAACAUCGACGUUUCGAACGCAUAUUGCGGUAUCGGGCCAGCUCGAUACCACGCCUAUCUGAGGGUCGAAUAAAGAAAUCAAAUCGAUUAUACGUUUUCUACGCUAAGAAACGUACUCGAGCAAUGGGCUCCAGACCUUGUCGAGAGGUCUUCGAGUCUCAAAGAUUUCGCUCGUCGCAAAAUAAUACGAGCGUCUAGAACAUAAACGCGACACUAAUGCGUCGCGUUUGAACAGCGAGCGUAAGUCCGUAUGGACGCGCGUCCUAAUCGAAGGUACUAAAAGUUCGACCGCUCCGGUCGAGGAAAAUACGCUUAUAGUCGACUUCGAUGCAAAUACGGACGCGACGUCGAGUCGAGGAAAACUCGCGUACGGGACGAUAAGCCGAAGAAUAACUCGAAAUUUGACCUCAGAUUAGACGUGAAAACCCGCCGAAUUUAAGCAUAUAACUAGGCGGAGGAAAAGAAAUUAACGAAGAUUUCCCCAGUAACGGCGAGUGAAAAGGAAAUAGUUCAGCGCCGAAUCCCUUAGCCCUUGGUUAAGGGACCUGUGGCGUGAAGGAGAGCCUAUCUGACGGGCUAUAAGCUUCGGAAUAUCCCUCGAAUGGGAACCCGAAGCAGGUGCGAGGCCUGUAACGAGGCGAUACCCGUCAGUUUGCGCCUCCGUAGAGUCGGGUUACUUGGGAGUGUAGCCCAAAGUGGAAGGUAAACCCCUUCUAAAACUAAAUAUUACCACGAGACCGAUAGCGAACAAGUACCGCGAGGGAAAGUUGAAAAGAACUUUGAAGAGAGAGUUAAAUAGGGCGUGAAACCGCUUAGAAGAAAACGGACGGAGCCGUCGGGGGCCUUCGGGAAUCAGUCGCACGAUGCGCGAAUACGUCGCGGCUCGGAACGCAAGUCCGGCCGUGAUGUGAUAUAGUAGCGUUCGUACGGCGCAUUUCUCGAAGGUAAGCACCGCGACCGAUACCGUAGGCCGGCGAAGCGAUCGGAUUGAGGGCGAGUCCUCUCGCGGGGACUCGUAACCAGUCCGUUCGUACACUCGUUGGACCGAAGUAAAGUAUCGAGCGCCAAAGUAACAGGUACGUCGGCUUGAAAGCUCGCCCGAGUAAUGGAUAGUUGGUCAAUCGGUUGGUAUCUGCUCGCAGGUGCCGAUCUAUUCGAUUCGGCUUAGAAGUUAUCGGCGACGCUCGACGUAUCGGCGUCCGCGGUGUCAGUGUCGGCCACCCGUCCGACCCGUCUUGAAACACGGACCAAGGAGUCUAACAUAUGCGCGAGCUAAUGGGUGGAAAACCCAAAGGCGCAAUAAAAGUAAACGCUGUUUCGGACAGCUAAGGUACGAUCCUAGGAUCCGAGCGAUCUUGGGCGCAGUACCGUCCCGUCCCGACCGCAUAUCGGUAGGGCGGAGAUAGAGUGCAUACGUUGGGACCCGAAAGAUGGUGAACUAUGCCUGAGCAGAGCGAAGCCAGAGGAAACUCUGGUGGAGGUUCGUAGCGGUUCUGACGUGCAAAUCGAUCGUCAGACUUGGGUAUAGGGGCGAAAGACUAAUCGAACCAUCUAGUAGCUGGUUCCCCC
RNAcentral lists this unclassified non-coding RNA (2355 nucleotides) under uncultured fungus. Its description in RNAcentral is "sequence contains 18S rRNA gene, ITS1, 5.8S rRNA gene, ITS2, 28S rRNA gene". The stretch from base 1189 to 2355 matches the Rfam family "Eukaryotic large subunit ribosomal RNA", at positions 1 to 961 of the family's 3401-position model. The record is from RNAcentral. Lineage: Eukaryota; Fungi.